GACGAACGCUGGCGGCGUGCUUAACACAUGCAAGUCGAACGGAAAGGCCCCUUUGGGGGUCCUCGAGUGGCGAACGGGUGAGUAACACGUGAGUAACCUGCCCUUGACUUCGGGAUAACUUCAGGAAACUGGGGCUAAUACCGGAUAGGAAUCCUUGCUGCAUGGUGGGGGUUGGAAAGCUUCGGCGGUUUUGGAUGGACUCGCGGCUUAUCAGCUUGUUGGUGGGGUAGUGGCUUACCAAGGCUUUGACGGGUAGCCGGCCUGAGAGGGCGACCGGCCACAUUGGGACUGAGAUACGGCCCAGACUCCUACGGGAGGCAGCAGUGGGGAAUAUUGCACAAUGGGCGGAAGCCUGAUGCAGCAACGCCGCGUGCGGGAUGACGGCCUUCGGGUUGUAAACCGCUUUCAGCAGGGGCGAAGCUUUUGUGACGGUACCUGCAGAAGAAGCACCGGCUAACUACGU
This 463-nucleotide ribosomal RNA is filed under the name uncultured bacterium. RNAcentral's name for it is "partial 16S ribosomal RNA". It matches the Rfam family "Bacterial small subunit ribosomal RNA", at positions 28 to 506 of the family's 1533-position model. The record is from RNAcentral.